This 394-nucleotide ribosomal RNA is filed under the name uncultured bacterium. RNAcentral's name for it is "partial 16S ribosomal RNA". It matches the Rfam family "Bacterial small subunit ribosomal RNA", at positions 338 to 729 of the family's 1533-position model. The record is from RNAcentral.
CCUACGGGGGGCAGCAGUGAGGAAUAUUGGUCAAUGGUCGGGAGCCUGAACCAGCCAAGCCGCGUGAAGGAUGACUGUACUGAGGAUCGUAAACCUCUUUUAUCAGGGAACAAAGUCAGGGACGUGUCCCCGGUUGUAUGUACCUUAUGAAAAAGCAUCGGCUAACUCCGUGCCAGCAGCCGCGGUAAUACGGAGGAUGCGAGCGUUAUCCGGAUUUAUUGGGUUUAAAGGGAGCGGAGGUGGGCUGUUAAGUCAGCUGUCAAAGCUUGGGGCUCAACCGGAGAAUUGCAGUUGAUACGGGCAGUCUUGAGUAGGGUUGAAGUAGGCGGAAUGCGUGGUGUAGCGGUGAAAUGCAUAGAUAUCGCGAAGAACUCCGAUUGCGAAGGCAGCAUGC